This is a long non-coding RNA of Triticum dicoccoides, 2652 nucleotides long. RefSeq lists it as uncharacterized. The record is from RefSeq and is a predicted model, not a curated record. Lineage: Eukaryota; Viridiplantae; Streptophyta; Magnoliopsida; Poales; Poaceae. The transcript has 8 exons.
AGCCGAUCGUGGGCGUCUUAUCCACCAAUCCCGCGUCCUUCUCGAGCCCCACAUCCCUCCUCCCCAUCAAUCCCCCGUCCUACUCCAGCCAUGCCUCGCCGCCACCUCUCCUUCCCCAUUCAUCCUCUCGAUCCGCUGCCGCCGCCAUAUCUCUCCUCCCCACACAUCCUCUCUCCUCGUCACAUCUGGCCGGAGGAGAACAUUGCGGCGGCAUCUCCUGGCGAUGGCAGUGAGGGCGGGUGAGGCUGCAAGGCGACGAGCCAAGGCGGCGGAGGAUCCGGUUCGUAUGCUGUUGUUGUUGCCGAUGGACGGAUGAGGCGCUCUCAGGUCACUCCCCACGGGCCUCCUUCGUCUCCCAAGUCUCAACCAUGGCCGGCUCCAACCCCUCCUCUGUUGUUGUGCUCCUGUAGGAGAAGAAGAAGAAGAGUAGGCAUGAUCUCUGUAUACAUCCAGUGUAUUUGGUUGGAUUACUUUCGUUCUCUGAGAAAUUUGGCAUUGAAAAAUAAAAGAAAUAAGAGACCCACGGUCUGUACUUAAGGUCUAGGAUCUGCUAGGUUGGUGGAUCUGCGAGCUUGCGGUUCCUGUUGUUGAUCAACCGCUGCUUCGGUGGAGGUUUAAUCAACCAAGUGAGUGCAGUAGCAAACCAGCUGUGCGGCUUAUAGGAGCACUUGCGCCAUCUUUGUAAUGGUUGCUUUAUGUAGGUCUCCACAGGCUUGCCGUCAGAAGACAUUUUAAUGGUACUGCUGAAUCUGUUCCCACCAGAGGCCUCUUGUGGGCACGAUAUAUAUGUAAGUGAGGAAAACACAAACACCCUUGUCACUACUGGAGAGGAUGGCCUAAAAUUCUGGGAUUUAAGUGAAUUUGCACCUUGGGUGGGGUGACGAGGUUGCUGCGGCUAGGCUGCCGAUUGGCCAAGCAAACCCUACUGUGUCUACACCUCUGCAUGGGUACUUGCCGCUUUUGUAAACCUCACUGUCAUAACUGGAAUGAAUUGCAAAUAAAAUUGUAAGUUUCCUCGCGUAUUCUCACUUCAUUUGAAGCACUUUCCACAUCUGAUAGCCCAGGUGGGAUAUAAAUGGAACUUUCACUUAGAUAGUUGCAUUCUAAAAUACGUCUAUAUACAUCCAUAUGUAGUCCAAAUAGUAAUCUCUAAAAACACUUAUAUUUAGGAACGGAGGGAGUAAUUCUCUGACAAGUUCCUAUUGAUUACAUGUACGUAUGGUUUAUUUUCUACAGUUGGAAAAGGUCCUAAAAUAUCGUCGACAUGGUUUAUGUAUGGUCAGCAAAGGCCUUAAGCAUGUCUUCUGCAAGUUUUUGUUAGUUAUCACUUCAUAGCUUGGUCAAACUUUUUGGCCGGUGACAAGUUAUAGGUAAGGUCUCCAUCCUCUCCUUUAUUUCUUUGGAUCACUACAGUUCUUAUAGCUUUCCGAAUCAUGCAUGCCAUGGUGCAAACUCAAAUAUGUAAAUAAUGCGUUUCCUUUUUUUUGCUUGUCACUCUUGCUCUUAUCAGGCAAAGAAACAUAUAAAGAACUAAUUAUUGUGGUGGAUCUUGCAUUUCUGAUUAUCCAUUAUCCAUUACUUCUAAAACAGCAGCAGGUGGGUGAAUGAUUGGCUACCAACAGUUCCAUAUACUUCAUCAGCUUUGUGAUAGUAAGCAUAGUAACAUGUUCAAAUAUAUGUCCCAGGCGAACCAGCUGCUUAAGUACCAUUCUUAUAUUUAGCUUCGUGCUUAUAAUUCUUUUGUGCCAUCUAUGAUGAACUCCACACAGCCUUAUGUUUAGAUGUGGCAUGCUCCAUGCUAUGAACAUUGUAAUCCUCUAUCAUUAGCUUUCUUUUCUUAUACUACAUAUGUAUAAUGAUCAUCAAUAUAUACCCACAUAAUACUUGGUUAUAGUUAGCAUCUUGCGCCAUGGGCGCAACGGGUCAUCUAGACACAACAAAAGCGCCAAAUCAUCAACCUAGACAACAAUAUUAAUGUUCGUAGACUGCGAAAGAUCAUCCAGAACACCACCACAUCUAAUCACUAGUAUGUCUGUCACAUGAUAGAAACAUUUGCUACAGACGGCAAAAGGAUGGUAAUCCUUUGCAAUUACUUUGUUUUGUUUCAUACAAUGACAUCGUAUAAAAUGAUAUACUAACUAACCUUUACUUUCAUUUUCAGUAUUUUGGGGUUCCCUUUUCUAAGAGCUCCCUUUUCUCACACAUGGAUGCUGACCAUGGUGAACUGCCAAUCACUACUGGAGACGGAACUACCGCUGUCACAGCCUGCUUUAUCAUGGGUGUUGACAAAAGGGCCACCAUCACUAGAGGCUGGAGUGACUUCUUUCGUCAGGCGCACAUGGAGAAAGGUCAAGCAUAUGCUUUCGACUUUAAAUGCACUUCCAAGAGACUGCGCCUGAUCGUCUACUCAAUAUAAACAAGUUGCAAGAGCCCCUUGUUAUAUAACUUAGCAUUAGUAGAGAUGCCUACUAAGACUUCUAUGUUUAUCAUUUGUCUAUUGCAUGUUCUCUGCUCAUUGCAGGUAUGCAAGCUCUGCCUUUUGAAACUCUUGGUGUAAAGAAAAAUUAUUGUUGUUUGCCCUAUCAAGAAUAUUAGCUCGAAUAAGUCCAGAUGUAUGCCAACUGAAAAGGUUAUUAUGCGUUUAUUUUCAUA